ACCUGCGGAAGGAUCAUUACCGAUCAUUCAAAAAGAGACGCCAGUCUUCUUUUUUACACCGCGAACCGUUCGAAGGAUCGGGGGUCGCCCCGUCGAGGGCGUCAAACGAUGGGAGCGUCACACGACUCCCACGGCCCCCGACGUUCCAUUUUUUUCAAACAAACAAACAAACCUAAGUCACAGAGAAAAUCCAAAAACAAAAGUUCAUAACUUUUAACGGUGGAUCUCUUGGCUCGUGCAUCGAUGAAGAACGCAGCCAGGUGCGAUAAGUAGUGUGAAUUGCAGAAUUCAGUGAAUCAUCGAAUCUUUGAACGCAAAUGGCGCUCUUGGGUUUUCCCAGGAGCACGUCUGUCUGAGUGUCGGUUUCCAAAGAACAGCGCAACGCGUCUUCCGAGGCGCCUGCGGUCUUGAGGCGUCGCGGCCCCCCACACACAAAGGCGGGCGGCCGCGUCCCUCGAAGUGCAGCACGACCGAAGCCAGCGACUCGGGUCGCCGCUUUCGGGGAGGCCAAAAACAACCACUUUGCCCUUCCUCGAGGCGGCCCGGGAACGCGCGGCGUCGAGUCGCGGUCGGCGGGGCGGCGAGCCGAGAGGCUCUCCGUCUCCCUCCAUCCAAUCUUGACCUCAGAUCAGGCGAGGCUACCCGCUGAAUUUAAGCAUAUUAAUAAGCGGAGGAAAAGAAACUAACAAGGAUUCC
RNAcentral lists this ribosomal RNA (696 nucleotides) under Urticina fecunda. RNAcentral describes it as "eukaryotic LSU rRNA". The stretch from base 209 to 362 matches the Rfam family "5.8S ribosomal RNA". The record is from RNAcentral. Lineage: Eukaryota; Metazoa; Cnidaria; Anthozoa; Actiniaria; Actiniidae.